CUACCCUUCUAUUUGUCAGGUGCUGAUAUGCAGGAUAAAGAACAUGAGAAGGCUCAGUCUUGAACUCCAGAGAGAUUGGGUCUUGCUCUAGGAUGCAGUGCAGUGGCGCGAUCUCAGAUCACUGCAGCCUCGGCCUCCUGGGGUCCAGCAAUCCUCCCACCUCAACCUCCUGAGUAGCUGAGACUACAGGCCUGGCGCACCUUGAUCUUCACUUUGAAAGAGUCGAUCAGAAAGACCACCUUGGGGAUGCCUUCCAGGGAGGGCAGCUGUCCAUCAUCUGGCACCUCCAGGUCGAACCUCUGCAGCAGCCAGGCCAUGAUGAGGAAGAGCUCCUGGCGGGCCAGGAUCUCACCUAUACAGGAGCGAGGUCCUGCUCCGAAGGGCAAAUAGCUUACUGACGCAAACUCACCGAUGCUGCUCCAGAGUGGAAGAGGAAAAAGCUUCUUCUUCACCUGAAGACCAGAGUAGGUUGGAGGUGACUAGUGUGUGUAAGCCCAGGAGAAGCAAGGGCUUAGAGAAGAAUCCAACUGUGACAUCGAGAAGAGCCUGUCCAGUCCCUUCCCAGUAGUGGCUCUGGGGCCCAGGCCCGGCUUCCAGAAGAUGGGGCAGCUCUACUCUGGGGUCAAAGCCAACUACUGCUUGGCUGCCAGAGUCUCUCCUGGAGGCGGAUCUUAGCUUUCUGUCUCUGGAAGUUCCUACUCCACCCCUGACCUUCAGCCAGAAUGGAAGGCAAGAUGGGGACACAGAACGGGUUUAUCAUGACGACGAAGACAAUUCUAAACAAGGGAGGAGGGCCUGGUCUCCACCUCUCCUUCCCCAUUCAAUCAAACAUCAAGCGCUGACUCUGCUAUGUGUCCAGCCCUUAGGAGUGAGAGAGACAUGAGCCUGAAGGCUCAGACAAGCUCCUUAACCCCGCUAAGCCUGCUUCUCACCUGCACAAUGGGGAUAAUAAAACCUACUUCCAAGGGGAAUUCA
Molecule: long non-coding RNA, 975 nt
Organism: Pan troglodytes (chimpanzee)
Lineage: Eukaryota; Metazoa; Chordata; Mammalia; Primates; Hominidae
Exons: 6
Source: RefSeq, a predicted model, not a curated record